RNAcentral lists this ribosomal RNA (292 nucleotides) under uncultured bacterium. RNAcentral's name for it is "partial 16S ribosomal RNA". It matches the Rfam family "Bacterial small subunit ribosomal RNA", at positions 505 to 796 of the family's 1533-position model. The record is from RNAcentral.
GUGCCAGCCGCCGCGGUAAUACAGAGGAGCCAAGCGUUGUCCGGAUUGACUGGGCGUAAAGCGCACGCAGGCGGCACCGCGCGUGGGGUGUGAAAUCUGGCCGCUUAACGGCCAGGCGCCAUCCCAUACGGCGGAGCUGGAGUGAUGCAGAGGUCGAUGGAAUUGCCGGUGUAGUGGUGAAAUGCGUAGAGAUCGGCAGGAACACCCAGGGGGAAACCAGUCGACUGGGCAUCUACUGACGCUGAGGUGCGAGAGCGUGGGGAGCGAACCGGAUUAGAAACCCCCGUAGUCC